RNAcentral lists this long non-coding RNA (3038 nucleotides) under Sus scrofa (pig). RNAcentral describes it as "lncRNA (ENSSSCG00000062666.1)". The record is from RNAcentral. Lineage: Eukaryota; Metazoa; Chordata; Mammalia; Artiodactyla; Suidae.
CAGUUUUCAUUGCAAAUAAAUCAUGGUUUUGACUAUUCAUGUUGGAAAAGGGUAAAAGGGCAUUUAGCAUGUAGAAAAAUAUUCAAAAACAAUAAGAAAAUGAGUUAAGAACUGGAAAAUAAUUUUACACUUGUGGAAAAAAAAAUAUUCCUAAACAUAUGCGUUAACAGAGUUAUUUAAAGCCCUGAAUGGAUAAAAGUAGUAAUUCAAUUCAAUUUCACAAAAAUCGAGUUCCAAAAUAGAUAAAGCUUUAUUACAGGCAUUAAUGGAAUGCUAAAGAAGGAAGAAGCCUGAGAUCCACAUGGUAAACAUUCUAAAGUCAUUGACAGUCUGGGGAGGCAAGAAUCAUACUCUUAAAAAUGACUCAAACAUGGUGUAUGAGAUUACAUUCCAAAAUCGCUUUCUCAUUUGUCAAGUCAUGUUGCCCCCUCAACGACCCUGAAUAAUAGGCCAGGAACUUGCUAUCCCUACUGUUUACAUACAAAAAGUGAGAGGCAAAGUUACAUGACUUGCUCAGUCACUCAGCAGAACCACAGGACGCAACAAGGAAUUCUGUUCACUCUUCUCAAUCCAGAGGUCAUAGAAGAGUUUAGGGGAAUUGGCGCAUUUGCGCUUUUCACAAUCACAGACCCUCCUUUCCAUCUUUUAUCACCGAUGUCUCUCAUUUUUCCUUUAUCCCUCUUCCCACAGCAUGCAAGAUCAUCAAAAAACAUAUGUACAACUGGGUCAGCAUGGCGAUAAUUUUCUUUGACAGAUGAAAAUAAUGAAAGCACCGAGAGAUGAGUAAAAAGAGAGGGUUUGAUUACUGACCAAGUCAACACUGUCAGGGGUGUGACUUAGAGUCCAAGGUGCCUCUUCAGUGGCAGGAACUGCUCUGUUGGGAAGUUGGCUAAGGAUACAUGUGACAAGUGGGACAGUGGGUUGAAUAACAUCCCCCCAAAUGCAUAUCGAGCUAGAACCUCAUAAUGGGGCCUUAUAUGGAAAUAGGAUUCCAUACAUCCAAUUAAUUACAACAUCCAAUUAAUUACAUGUUGCAGAUGUAAUUAAUUAAGAGGAAGUUGUUUGGGAUUUGAAUGAGCCCUAAAUCCAAUGUCUCUUGUCCUUAAAAAGAAGAGAAGGGGACAUAUAGAAAUACAAACAGGGAUAAAGUCCAUGUGAGGCUGCAGAAAGGAGUGGGAGUGAAACAGCUACAGGACAGAGAAAGAAAAGAAUUGCUGAGAGCCUCCAGAAACUAGGAAGAGGCAAGGAUUCUUUCCUAGAAGGUUUACAGAGGGCAUGGCCCUGAGCAUCUUCGUUCCACUUCCAGCGUCUGAAACAGUGAGAUAAAUUUCUGUCGUUCUAAGUAACCCAGUUUGCAGUGUCUUAUUAUGGUGGCCCUGGAAAGCUAAUGUACAUGCAGACCUUGGAAGAAGCAAAGCAUCAGUAUCCUCUUCCAGAAGUUCAGAAAGUCCACUUUCUUCAGGAAAAGUGCUGGGGGAAGAGGACGUGUUGGAGGAGCAGGUGAGGAAGUGGUUUUUAGGGAGGGGUUUCAAGGAGAGAAACUGUACUUAUUGGUGACUAAUAUUCCAAGCUGUGUAUCUAUAGUUUACAAGCGUUUUCUCUCUUCAUUCUCACCAUAGUCCUGUGAUCUAAGUUUGACAUCCUUUUUUAAACUGAAGCUUAGAGAGCCUAUGCAUCUGCCUCAAAAUCACAAACUAAUAAAUGACAAAAUCAGGAACCAAAUCCGUUCUUCCUGACUCCUGUACAGGUAUUCCUUAAGCCUAAUUAAGUAACCCUCCAAGAGUAUAAUAAAUAAUCUUUCCCUGAGACUUUUAAAACCAGUCAGGACACAGUAACAAGGAACUCUCAGGAGAAAUAGUCCUCUCCGGGCAGAGCAGAGAGAUGAAAUUGGAUAUCCUAAUAGGUCUUUUCCAAGUCUAAUUACUCUCACUCUGUGUAAGGCGCCGACUAAAUGCAAGUUCAUUAUCAUUUUUUUUUCUAAGUUAACUGAAAAACAAGAUUGAUUGACAUUUUGGAGGUAUUCAACAUUUAUAUGCAGGAAAUUUGGGAGACUUUAAACACAUUCAAAAAAGCUUUUCUUAAGAUAGCUUGUGCUUUUUUUUUUUUUUUUAAACGUGAAAUACUCUGUACAAAAACAGAUGCUUUCUAAAAUAUCUUCCUGCUGCUCUUCCCAAGCUGAUGACCUUGGUGUACUCAGGACUUUGUAGGAAGUGUGCAGGCUUCCUCACGUGGAAAAGAAAAAAAAUACUGUAUUUCUUACCUAAAUUCCUCUGUGUUCACCCAGAAAUUCUGCCUCUCAAAUGUACUGAUUCUGACCUCUAUUCACAGCAGCCAAUAAGAAUAUUAUAAAUUAGGAUUAUAGUUAAAAGUACUCAUGUUUCAAAAAUAAAGAACAUCUGACAAUGAAAGUAACAUUGCAUAAAAGCACAGGUGAUGAAGGUCAGGGUUGAAUUCAUAAGUUGGUAGUAUUACUUCAGUCCUUUAGAAAAGAAUACCUCAGUUUUAACCAUGAGAUCCUGCUGUAUAGCACUUGGAAUUAUAUCUAGUCACUUAGAUGGAGCAUGAUAAUGUGAGAAAAACGAAUGUAUGUAUGUAUGUGUGACUGGGUCACCUUGCUGUACAGUAGAAAAAUGGCAGGACACUGUAAACCAGCUAUAAUGGAAAAAAUAAAAAUCAUUUAAUAAAGCAAUAAGUUUAAUGUUUACACUGGCUGUUUCUAUGCUAACAAAAAAAGAAAGAAAAAUAGAAGGAAGGAAGGCAAGCAAGCAAGAAAGAAAGAGAGGAAGGGAAGGAAGGAAGGGGAAGCAUAAAAGAAAGAAAAAUAAUUAAAAAAAAAACUUCAUAAAAUGUGAAGCCUGCAAAUUUUGUUUCUUAUCCUUCCUUGGUACCCUAACAUGUUGAUCUCGUAUAAAAGGAAACACGGGAUUUCCUGGGUGGCAGUGUGCUAACGAUCCAGCAUUGCCGCAGCUGUGGCACAGGUUGCAAUUGUGGCAGGGGUUUGAUCCCUGGCCUGGGAACUUCCAUAUGCCAUAGGUGUG